AUCAAAAUGACUCUCGGCAACGGAUAUCUCGGCUCUUGCAUCGAUGAAGAACGUAGCGAAAUGCGAUACUUGGUGUGAAUUGCAGAAUCCCGUGAACCAUCGAGUCUUUGAACGCAAGUUGCGCCCGAAGCCAUUAGGCUGAGGGCACGCCUGCCUGGGUGUCACA
This 166-nucleotide ribosomal RNA is filed under the name Cyamopsis senegalensis. RNAcentral describes it as "5.8S ribosomal RNA". It matches the Rfam family "5.8S ribosomal RNA". Rfam says of the family: 5.8S ribosomal RNA (5.8S rRNA) is a component of the large subunit of the eukaryotic ribosome. It is transcribed by RNA polymerase I as part of the 45S precursor that also contains 18S and 28S rRNA. Lineage: Eukaryota; Viridiplantae; Streptophyta; Magnoliopsida; Fabales; Fabaceae. The record is from RNAcentral.